UGCUUUUUAUUUAUUUUUGAUUUACAAGAUCAGUGUUUUUGUUAAACUAAAAAAGC
This 56-nucleotide transfer RNA is filed under the name Armillifer agkistrodontis. RNAcentral's name for it is "tRNA-Thr". The record is from RNAcentral. Lineage: Eukaryota; Metazoa; Arthropoda; Ichthyostraca; Porocephalida; Armilliferidae.